RNAcentral lists this ribosomal RNA (311 nucleotides) under uncultured eukaryote. RNAcentral's name for it is "partial 18S ribosomal RNA". It matches the Rfam family "Eukaryotic small subunit ribosomal RNA", at positions 1470 to 1796 of the family's 1831-position model. The record is from RNAcentral.
CCCCUAGACGUUCUGGGCUGCACGCGCGCUACAAUAAUACGCACAGCGAGUAUCACCGAGCUCGAAAGGGCAAGGUAAACAAUAGAGAAGGUACUGUAAUGGUUAUAGAUCCUUGUAAUUAUUGAUCUUCAACGAGGAAUUCCUAGUAAGUAUGUGUCAUCAUCACGCACUGAUUACGUCCCUGCCCUUUGUACACACCGCCCGUCGCUCCUACCGAUUGGGUGAGCCGAUGAAACUCUCGGAUGUAGGCUAUUCAUAGCCCGCAGAAGAGAUUUGAAUCGUAGCGCUUAGAGGAAGGAGAAGUCGUAACA